RNAcentral lists this ribosomal RNA (330 nucleotides) under uncultured eukaryote. RNAcentral's name for it is "partial 18S ribosomal RNA". It matches the Rfam family "Eukaryotic small subunit ribosomal RNA", at positions 1470 to 1796 of the family's 1831-position model. The record is from RNAcentral.
CCCUUAGAUGCUCGGGGCCGCACGCGCGCUACACUGAAGGAAUCAGCACGUCUUUCUCCUUGUCCGAAAGGACUGGGUAACCCGCUGAACCUCCUUCGUGCUAGGGAUUGGGGCUUGUAAUUCUUCCCCAUGAACGAGGAAUUCCCAGUAAGCGCGAGUCAUAAGCUCGCGUUGAUUACGUCCCUGCCCUUUGUACACACCGCCCGUCGCUACUACCGAUUGGAUGGUUUAGUGAGAUCCUCGGAUUGGUCCCGGAGCGGCCUCUGGUCGUGCCGGAGUGCCGAAAAGAAUGUCGAACUUGAUCAUCUAGAGGAAGUAAAAGUCGUAACA